Molecule: small nuclear RNA, 122 nt
Organism: Tripterygium wilfordii
Lineage: Eukaryota; Viridiplantae; Streptophyta; Magnoliopsida; Celastrales; Celastraceae
Source: RefSeq, a predicted model, not a curated record
AGGAGAGAUGGUUGGCAUCUCCCCUGAUAGGGUCGGGAUUGGGCAUUUGUUCAUCUUUUGUAAACACAUCCGUGUGUUAUUAAGGCUAUCUGUCUCGGCAGAUCUCCAACACAAAUUAAUCC